CGGGACAAAGCGCGGGCCCCCGGCGUGUGGGCUAAGCUAGCCUAAGUGAGAAGCUUGGCGACGAAUUCAGAUUACAGGCCUAACACAUGCAAGUCGAGGGGCAGCAUGGUCUUAGCUUGCUAAGGCUGAUGGCGACCGGCGCACGGGUGAGUAACGCGUAUCCAACCUUCCCUUUAGUAGGGCAUAGCCCGUAGAAAUGCGGAUUAAUACCCUAUGUUUUCCGGAACGGCAUCAGAACUGGAACAAAGAUUGAUCGCUAAGGGAUGGGGAUGCGUACGAUUAGGUUGUUGGCGGGGUAACGGCCCACCAAGCCUGCGAUCGUUAGGGGUUCUGAGGAUGAAGGUCCCCCACACUGGGUACUGGAGACACCGGACCAGACUCCUACGGGAGGCAGCAGUGAGGAUAUUGGUCAAUGGGCGUGAGCCUGACCAGCAUUUAUCUCGCACUACACGCCUACGGGUUGUAACUGCUUUUAUCAGGGAUAAAGUGCGGCGACGUGUCUCUCAUUGCAGGUACUGAUGAUGAGGACGCUAUUCGUGCCACAGCCGCGGUAAUACGGAGGUCCGGGCGUAUCCGGAUUUAUUGGGGUUAAGGGAGCGCA
Molecule: ribosomal RNA, 601 nt
Filed under: uncultured rumen bacterium
Lineage: Bacteria
Description: bacterial SSU rRNA
Rfam family: Bacterial small subunit ribosomal RNA
Source: RNAcentral